Molecule: transfer RNA, 79 nt
Filed under: Caballeronia telluris
Lineage: Bacteria; Pseudomonadati; Pseudomonadota; Betaproteobacteria; Burkholderiales; Burkholderiaceae
Description: Paraburkholderia telluris tRNA-Ala
Source: RNAcentral
GCAGCGUGUAGCCGAGUGCGCGCGGGCCGGCUCGCGUUCGGCCAGCGCCUCGCGUGGGUUCAGGUCGCGGGCGCCGCGC